RNAcentral lists this ribosomal RNA (311 nucleotides) under Calloconophora sp. CPL-2004b. RNAcentral describes it as "partial 12S small subunit ribosomal RNA". Lineage: Eukaryota; Metazoa; Arthropoda; Insecta; Hemiptera; Membracidae. The record is from RNAcentral.
CUAGAAUAAAAGUAGUUAAGAUCUUCAUAACUCAAAGAAUUUGGCGGUUAAUAAAAGUUUUUAGAGGAACCUGUAUUUUAAUUGAUAAACCACGAUAGUUUAAACCUUUAUUUAUAUUUGUAUAUCUCUAUGGGUAGUAGAUUAUUUUUAAAAAAUAUUUUCUUUAAGUAUUUUCUUGUAUUUUAGGUCAAGGUGCAGUUUUAUAAAGGUAAAUAUGGGUUACAUUAAUUAUUAAUUAAUAGUAUAUAAUUAUUUUAUUAAAUAAAUUAGGAUUUAAAAGUAAAUUAAAUUAAUUAAUUUUAUUGAAUUUU